CGUCUCUUGGUCACAGGUGGG
RNAcentral lists this microRNA (21 nucleotides) under Mus musculus (house mouse). RNAcentral's name for it is "mmu-miR-7221-5p". The record is from miRBase by way of RNAcentral. Lineage: Eukaryota; Metazoa; Chordata; Mammalia; Rodentia; Muridae.